UACGUAGGGCGCAAGCGUUGUCCGGAAUUAUUGGGCGUAAAGAGCUCGUAGGCGGUUUGUCGCGUCUGCUGUGAAAGCGCCUGGCUUAACCGGGCGAGGUCGGCGGAAACUGUUCGACUCGAGGACGGUAGAGGGGGGUGGAAUUCCCGGUGUAGUGGUGAAAUGCGUAGAGAUCGGGAGGAACACCUGUGGCGAAGGCGGCCCCCUGGGCCGGCCCUGACACUGAGACGCGAAGGCGUGGGGAGCGAACGGG
Molecule: ribosomal RNA, 253 nt
Filed under: uncultured bacterium
Lineage: Bacteria
Description: partial 16S ribosomal RNA
Rfam family: Bacterial small subunit ribosomal RNA
Source: RNAcentral